GCGAAAUCCAAAUUGGUCGGUGUCCCGGUACCGAAAGGGUCGGGCCCUUCCAUCAUCUCAUACACCUUUGUCGAACUGUAGGGGGAUCGGUGAAAGCCUUUCCCCCGCUUUUUCAUACACUUGAAGUCUGAGAAUGAAGUCUUGGUGAAAACCAAAAAUA
Molecule: unclassified non-coding RNA, 160 nt
Filed under: uncultured Tricholomataceae
Lineage: Eukaryota; Fungi; Basidiomycota; Agaricomycetes; Agaricales; Tricholomataceae
Description: sequence contains ITS1
Source: RNAcentral